This is a long non-coding RNA of Hyla sarda, 563 nucleotides long. RefSeq lists it as uncharacterized. NCBI's taxonomy places the organism in Eukaryota, Metazoa, Chordata, Amphibia, Anura, Hylidae. The record is from RefSeq and is a predicted model, not a curated record. The transcript has 4 exons.
GUUACAGAAGACUCAUUUCUCAUCGCUAUUACUGGGUCCCACUUGAUUCUGACACUAGACCGGGACAGUGUCCAAGAAAUAUUACCCGGGGGUCUAUUUGGAGCUGAAGAGAGACAAUUGGGUGCUGAGAUUUUCACCAGAUGUCGCUAACAACUCAAGUGAUCCAUACAUACAAAGAAACCAAAACAAAUUAGGAUAUAUGUAAUAAUGUGAAAUGACACUGAGUGAAAGUACUGAACACAUGAAGACAGGGAGGAGCAAAAAGGAAACACAUGUAUACCAGAAUGGCUGGUGAUCUGGAAUCAACUGACAUGGAGACAAAACCAGAUCAAGGAACGCUAGAGCAUUCAAGACCAUUCCCCAAACUUUGUGGAAAUGUAAUCUUGUCCCACCACACUUUAUUUUCUAAAUUCUUCUUCCAGCACUCAGUAGCAUGAUCAGGCACUGAACAGGUUAACUGCUGGAACCUAAGUAUUCUCCAAUCCUGUCAGUUUUGGCAGAAAUGCAGAUCUAUAUUACAGAGGUCCUCACGCCGGAGGACAAAUUUCGUCUCUAUCAAGUAA